Molecule: long non-coding RNA, 620 nt
Filed under: Cyanistes caeruleus (blue tit)
Lineage: Eukaryota; Metazoa; Chordata; Aves; Passeriformes; Paridae
Description: lncRNA (ENSCCEG00000000813.1)
Source: RNAcentral
UUCCUACAUCUCAGAGUCUUUUGGGCUUCCUGUGAGGCUCAUUCACUCCCUGCUGACUUGGCACAACCUGGCACCUGUUAUCGGUGUUUCCAACAUGAUAAAAUACUCAGCUGAGAAGUCACAUGGACCAUCUCAUCAAGACUGAAGAUUUGCAAGUAGGGAUUACAGUAUCUCAGAUGAUAAACAAGGUAAUAAAAAUCACUGAACAGUGAUCCACAAAGUUAAGCAAAGCAACAAAUCUGGAUUAUAAGAGCAACACAGACGUGGAAAUCAAAAAAAUAAUUAGUCCAACCAACUGUUUUGCAUUUAACUGACUAAAAGAAUAUCAGGAUAGCUGGAAGUUCAAGAGGAAGAAGGGGAGAACAGACAAACAAAAAAACCCAACCCAACAAAAAAAGACGACUUCAUAAAGUAAAAGCAACUAAUAAUGAAAGACGAUAUAUACCAAACUGCAAUUGGUAGCGUGGGGUAAGUGAAUAGCGCCAUGAAGUAGUACCACAGAAGCAGCAGGAAUCUUGUGACCUCAGCACAGUCCAGCUGCUGCAGGUCUGUUCCACAGCAUCAGACACCCCCAGUCUGAUCUCAUGCAGCUGUGGCUCUCCUCUCCACCCACCUUUCCC